This 253-nucleotide ribosomal RNA is filed under the name uncultured bacterium. Its description in RNAcentral is "partial 16S ribosomal RNA". It matches the Rfam family "Bacterial small subunit ribosomal RNA", at positions 524 to 776 of the family's 1533-position model. The record is from RNAcentral.
UACGGAGGGUGCAAGCGUUAUCCGGAAUCACUGGGUUUAAAGGGUGCGUAGGCGGCCCGUUAAGUCAGUGGUGAAAGCCUCCAGCUCAACUGGAGAACUGCCAUUGAUACUGACGGGCUUGAGUACAGACGAGGUUGGCGGAAUUGAUUGUGUAGCGGUGAAAUGCAUAGAUACAAUCAAGAACUCCGAUUGCGUAGGCAGCUAACUAGGCUGUAACUGACGCUGAGGCACAAAAGCGUGGAGAGCGAACAGG